UGGCUCAGAACGAACGCUGGCGGCGUGCUUAACACAUGCAAGUCGAGCGGAAAGGCCCUUCGGGGUACUCGAGCGGCGAACGGGUGAGUAACACGUGAGUAACCUGCCCCAGACUCUGGGAUAACCCCGGGAAACCGGAGCUAAUACCGGAUACGACGCGAAGAGGCAUCUCUAUCGCGUGGAAAGUUUUCGGUCUGGGAUGGACUCGCGGCCUAUCAGCUUGUUGGUGAGGUAACGGCUCACCAAGGCGACGGCGGGUAGCCGGCCUGAGAGGGCGACCGGCCACACUGGGACUGAGAUACGGCCCAGACGCCUACGGGAGGCAGCAGUGGG
Molecule: ribosomal RNA, 333 nt
Filed under: uncultured Actinomycetales bacterium
Lineage: Bacteria; Bacillati; Actinomycetota; Actinomycetes; Actinomycetales
Description: bacterial SSU rRNA
Rfam family: Bacterial small subunit ribosomal RNA
Source: RNAcentral